Molecule: non-coding RNA, 601 nt
Organism: Cinara cedri
Lineage: Eukaryota; Metazoa; Arthropoda; Insecta; Hemiptera; Aphididae
Source: the annotation of a GenBank genome assembly
UUUUUUUUUUUGCGGUCUGUGCAAUAGGGGAUAUUUAGUAUUGAUAUUGAAGUGUAGUUCUUUAUAGUACAAUAACGGUUAAGUUGUCAUCUGGUAAACAGUUAAGUAAAGGCGGCUUAGUCAUAUGUAUCAACUCGAAAACGAGACAAUUUGUAGCUCAGACUGUUAUUGCACACUGAAAGGGUCGUAUAAAAUACAUAUUUUUUUUUUGUAUGCAGUCACCACCUACAUUCCAUUGAAAUAAAGCCGUAUCGCGUUAAAUAAACGUACCCAAUUAUUGCCGUUUAAUAUUGUUAUUAACAUUUUAUAGUUGUUUUUAAUGUUUUGGUCUAAAGGUUCUUUCCGAAUUACGAGUUAACUCUAGUAGCAUUACGUGCCAAUUAACCUUAACAACGUUAUAUUGGUUGUUGGCAAUAUUAUUUGUUAAUAGUAUGCCAGCAAUAAUUUUCAAAUUACUUAUCAAAUCGUAAUACAAUGAACAGCGGUUAUUUAUAUUUUCAGAUUGAAUCUAAUUUAUGCGUAGUCGACGGUCAAUUAAGGACAUUUUAAAAUUACUAUUUACCUGUGUAUCGUAAAUUGUGUCUGUUUUAUUGGACGUGUG